AUUUUCGACAAGAGUUUUCUCUCUCAUCGAGACGAGGUCUCUUGUGCCUUUGAUGUAGUUCAUUUUUCACCUAUCGUCGAUGUAGUUCGUUAUUUUUUUUUCAUCUCUCCUUUUCUUCUGUGUUCGAGUGAGGGUCUUCCCUCUGCUCUUGACGGGAUCGUGAGAGUAUAGAGGAGUCAUUGAGGAAGCUUUCCUCCUUGUCGAUCAAUCGAGUCUUUGUUUGCGUCGGGAU
This 232-nucleotide long non-coding RNA is filed under the name Elaeis guineensis (African oil palm). Its description in RNAcentral is "long non-coding RNA (EGUI_LNC074707)". The record is from RNAcentral. Lineage: Eukaryota; Viridiplantae; Streptophyta; Magnoliopsida; Arecales; Arecaceae.